GGGUUUAUGGGGUCACAGUCACUUAUGGGGUUUUAUGGGGUCCCCAUAUACAAACAAUGGGGUUUAUGGGGUCACAGUCACUUAUGGGGUUUAUGGGGUCCCCUAUACCCACAAUGGGGUUUUAUGGGGUCCCCAUAGACAAUCAAUGGGGUUUAUGGGGUUUUAUGGGGUCCCCAUAUACACACAAUGGGGGUUUAUGGGGUUUUAUGGGGUCCCCAUAGACACACAAUGGGGUUUUAUGGGGUCCCCAUAGACACACAAUAGGGUUUAUGGGGUUUCAUGGGGUCCCCAUAGACACACAAUGGGGGUUUAUGGGGUCACAGUCACUUAUGGGGUUUCUGGGUUCCCCUAUACCCACAAUGGGGUUUUAUGGGGUCCCCAUAGACAUACAAUGGGGUUUUAUGGGCUCACAAACUCUUAUGGGGUUUUAUGGGGUCCCCAUAUAAACCCAAUGGGGUUUAUGGUGUUUAUGGGGUUUUAUGGGGUCCCCCAUACCCUCAAUGGGGUUAAUGGGGUUUUAUGGGGUCCCCAUAUCCACCCAAUGGGGUUAAUGGGGUUUUAUGGGGUCCCCCAUACCCUCUAUGGGUUUAAUGGGGUUUUAUGGGGUCCCCAUAUCCACCCAAUGGGGUUAAUGGGGUUUUAUAGGGUCCCACCCCAUUCCCCCCCUUUUGGGGUCGCCCCCCCCCCAUAUUGGGGUCUCUUAUGGGGUUCACAGUUGGGGGGGGGGAGGCCGCCCCUAUGGCUUCGCUGUGGGGUCUCUGCGCCUGUGGGGAGACAAUGGACCAGUAUCAACGACCCCAUUACCCCAUAGAUCCCAUUACCCCCAUAGAUCCCAUAGGAUCCCAUUACCCCCAUAGGAUCCCAUUACCCCCAUAGGAUCCCAUUACCCCCAUAGAUCCCAUUAACCCCCAUUGGAUCCCAUUGGAUCCCAUUGCCCCCAUAGAUCCCAUUACCCCCAUUGGAUCCCAUUACCCCCAUAGGAUCCCAUUACCCCCAUUACCCCCAUA
Molecule: long non-coding RNA, 1007 nt
Filed under: Coturnix japonica (Japanese quail)
Lineage: Eukaryota; Metazoa; Chordata; Aves; Galliformes; Phasianidae
Description: lncRNA (ENSCJPG00005002578.1)
Source: RNAcentral